Molecule: long non-coding RNA, 236 nt
Filed under: Lathyrus oleraceus (garden pea)
Lineage: Eukaryota; Viridiplantae; Streptophyta; Magnoliopsida; Fabales; Fabaceae
Description: Pisum sativum (pea) long non-coding RNA (PSAT_LNC036387)
Source: RNAcentral
GGGAUGUCUCAUCUUGUAGUUUGAGUGCGUAGUCAAAUUAACUGAACACUACCUUGCCCCAGGUUAAAUGUAAGGGUUUGUAAAUCCGAAAGAAACUCCUACUUCUAGGCUCGAAGUGGUUGACUAGGGAUUAACUCCUUAUCUCUCCAGUGUUUGGGGAUUUGAAACAAUGCCUGUACAUCAUCAGCAAGGUUUUAUCCGAAAGCAUACAAUCAACAAUUAUGGGUAUUUUUUCG